This 376-nucleotide ribosomal RNA is filed under the name uncultured bacterium. RNAcentral's name for it is "bacterial SSU rRNA". It matches the Rfam family "Bacterial small subunit ribosomal RNA", at positions 524 to 898 of the family's 1533-position model. The record is from RNAcentral.
UACGUAGGGGGCGAGCGUUGUCCGGAGUUACUGGGCGUAAAGGGCAUGCAGGCGGUCAGGCGCGUUUUGUGUGACAGCGGAUGGCUUAACUGUCCGAGGAUACGAGAUACGGCGUGACUUGAGAGCGCGAGAGGGACACGGAAUUCCGGGUGGAGUGGUGAAAUGCGUAGAGAUCCGGAGGAACACCGAAGGCGAAGGCAGUGUCCUGGCGCGUAUCUGACGCUGAGGUGCGAAAGCCAGGGGAGCGAACGGGAUUAGAUACCCCGGUAGUCCUGGCCGUAAACGAUGACCACUAGGUGUAGGAGGUAUCGACCCCUUCUGUGCCGGAGGAAACCCAUUAAGUGGUCCGCCUGGGGAGUACGGUCGCAAGAUUAAA